AAUUUUUUUAUUUCCUUUUUAAAAAAACUGUCUAUCUGUUCUUUAACAGCUUGCACAUGGAGCACAAAGAAUUUAAUGUUAAGGUUGCGUGGUUUAAAUAUGGGUGAAGAAUAGAGUAGGCACUUAAUCUUAUAGUUAAGAAACCGUUUGUCAAUACCUAUGAUUUGUUUGAGUCUUCAUAUUUUACAGUGGGUUGACUCUUGUGAUUAGACACAUUAAAUGUUGGCAGCACCAGAAGUGACCAUAUUUAUAGGAUCUAGCUACACCAAAAUAUCUAAUUUUUUUCUCAUAGUGUACACAUUUCUUAAUGUUUUCUUGCUAAAAUUGAAGCAAAUAACUUUGUGUUGAGUACUUAUUUGACAGUAUUUCAUUUCUCUCUUGGUCGCAGAUCUUUGUAUGUUCUCUUGAUUACUGUAAACUGAACUUGAAAAUUUGUUUAAAAUUUUACAAACCUGCCUAUUAAGAUCUAGGAAUGCAUUUUAAACCUCCAGAAAACCAAAACAGUCUUUUACUAGUUAGGGUUUUUGGUGGUGUGGGAAUUUUUGUUUUGUCUUUUAUAAACCUCUCUCCUCUUAAUCCAGAUGUUCUGUAUAAUUAUCUGGGUUAAUUUCCCCAUUUCCUCAAGAAUUUCAGUAAACUUUCAGUCAUGACAGGUUUUGUGUCUACCCUCAUGAGCCAGCCUGCUACUGAAACAUCAUUUGUUUUUUUUUUCUUUUGUUUUUGGUUUUUUUGGGUUUUUUUGGUUUUGGUUGGUUUUUUAUUUGUUUGGUUUCGGUUGGUUUUUGUUUUUUUUGUUUUUUUUUUUUUUAAUAAAAAGCUAGAAUCAUCAUUUGAAGUCCUUAAAUGUUAAACCACAGUCAAGUAUAGAGAAGUCCAUUAUUGUGUUAGUCUUCAGAACAACUUAAGCUUGUUUCAUUAAUUGAGAGUAUGAGUAUAGUUUGUAUUAAAUUAAAAUUUAUUGCUUUUCCCCC
Galeopterus variegatus (Sunda flying lemur) is the source of this 971-nucleotide long non-coding RNA. RefSeq lists it as uncharacterized. Lineage: Eukaryota; Metazoa; Chordata; Mammalia; Dermoptera; Cynocephalidae. The transcript has 2 exons. The record is from RefSeq and is a predicted model, not a curated record.